GACGAACGCUGGCGGCGUGCUUAACACAUGCAAGUCGAACGCUGAAGCUCAGCUUGCUGGGUGGAUGAGUGGCGAACGGGUGAGUAACACGUGAGUAACCUGCCCCCUUCUUUGGGAUAACGCCCGUAAACGGGUGCUAAUACUGUAUAUUCACUGAUCUUCGCAUGGGGGUUGGUGGAAAGGUUUUUUCUGGUGGGGGAUGGUCUCGCGGCCUAUCUGCUUGUUGGUGGGGUGAUGGCCUACCAAGGCUUUGACGGGUAGCCGGCCUGAGAGGGUGACCGGUAACAUUGGGACGGAGAUACGGCCCAGACUACGACGGGAGGCAGCAGUGGGGAAUAUUGCACAAUGGGCGAAAGCCUGAUGCAGCGACGCCGCGUGAGGGAUGGAGGCCGUCGGGUUGUAAACCUCUUGCGCUAAUGGUCAAGCCGCAACAGUGGUUGUGGUGAGGGUAGUGGGUAAAGAAGCGCCGGCUAACUACGUG
This 481-nucleotide ribosomal RNA is filed under the name uncultured bacterium. Its description in RNAcentral is "partial 16S ribosomal RNA". It matches the Rfam family "Bacterial small subunit ribosomal RNA", at positions 28 to 507 of the family's 1533-position model. The record is from RNAcentral.